RNAcentral lists this ribosomal RNA (752 nucleotides) under Bacillus sp. THJ-E89. RNAcentral describes it as "bacterial SSU rRNA". It matches the Rfam family "Bacterial small subunit ribosomal RNA", at positions 21 to 755 of the family's 1533-position model. Lineage: Bacteria; Bacillati; Bacillota; Bacilli; Caryophanales; Bacillaceae. The record is from RNAcentral.
GGCUCAGGACGAACGCUGGCGGCGUGCCUAAUACAUGCAAGUCGAGCGGACAGAUGGGAGCUUGCUCCCUGAUGUUAGCGGCGGACGGGUGAGUAACACGUGGGUAACCUGCCUGUAAGACUGGGAUAACUCCGGGAAACCGGGGCUAAUACCGGAUGCUUGAUUGAACCGCAUGGUUCAAUUAUAAAAGGUGGCUUUUAGCUACCACUUACAGAUGGACCCGCGGCGCAUUAGCUAGUUGGUGAGGUAACGGCUCACCAAGGCAACGAUGCGUAGCCGACCUGAGAGGGUGAUCGGCCACACUGGGACUGAGACACGGCCCAGACUCCUACGGGAGGCAGCAGUAGGGAAUCUUCCGCAAUGGACGAAAGUCUGACGGAGCAACGCCGCGUGAGUGAUGAAGGUUUUCGGAUCGUAAAACUCUGUUGUUAGGGAAGAACAAGUACCGUUCGAAUAGGGCGGUACCUUGACGGUACCUAACCAGAAAGCCACGGCUAACUACGUGCCAGCAGCCGCGGUAAUACGUAGGUGGCAAGCGUUGUCCGGAAUUAUUGGGCGUAAAGCGCGCGCAGGCGGUUUCUUAAGUCUGAUGUGAAAGCCCCCGGCUCAACCGGGGAGGGUCAUUGGAAACUGGGGAACUUGAGUGCAGAAGAGGAGAGUGGAAUUCCACGUGUAGCGGUGAAAUGCGUAGAGAUGUGGAGGAACACCAGUGGCGAAGGCGACUCUCUGGUCUGUAACUGACGCUGAGCGCG